RNAcentral lists this ribosomal RNA (468 nucleotides) under Triticum aestivum (bread wheat). RNAcentral's name for it is "partial small subunit ribosomal RNA". Lineage: Eukaryota; Viridiplantae; Streptophyta; Magnoliopsida; Poales; Poaceae. The record is from RNAcentral.
AUGCGGAUUUUGAGUUUGACAUGCAGCUCCUCCGCUUGUGAGAGGAAUUUUAGUGUUUUUCAGCAGAUUCACACAAAGAAACGCAACAGGCUGCUUCAUAAUAAAAUGAGAGACCUUGUUUUUAUCAAGUUCAACUCCAAACUCAAACAAAAGAGAAAGAUGAAAAACAGGGACCCGAUUGUGGACCACACAUUUGUAGAUGUUGUAGAAGAUGAAGAUAAUGAGUGGAUCACAGGUAUUGUGCCUCAUGAACCUGAUGAAGUUGUAGAAGUUGCAGCAUCAACAUCACAAGGAGCAGUUGGUGCAUCAAAAAGAAAGAGAGCGUCCCAAUCUCGCCCUCGGAAGAAGAAAAAACUGCUCCCUGUUUUUCGUGAAGAUGAGUUGGAGUCAGCUAGUUCUUCUUCUGAAUCGGAAGAUGAUGCCAUGCAUUCACCAUCUGGUUCAUCAAAUGAGAGUGAUUCUGAAUAA